AUCCAGAUGUCAGGCUGGUCCU
This 22-nucleotide microRNA is filed under the name Euprymna scolopes. RNAcentral describes it as "Esc-Novel-63_5p (mature (guide))". The record is from RNAcentral. Lineage: Eukaryota; Metazoa; Mollusca; Cephalopoda; Sepiida; Sepiolidae.